Molecule: ribosomal RNA, 468 nt
Filed under: uncultured bacterium
Lineage: Bacteria
Description: partial 16S ribosomal RNA
Rfam family: Bacterial small subunit ribosomal RNA
Source: RNAcentral
GACGAACGCUGGCGGCGUGCUUAACACAUGCAAGUCGAACGGAAAGGCCCUGCUUUUGUGGGGUGCUCGAGUGGCGAACGGGUGAGUAACACGUGAGUAACCUGCCCUUCACUUUGGGAUAACUUCAGGACACUUGGGCUCAUCCCGGAUAGGAGCUCCUGCUGCAUGGUGGGGGUUGGAUAGUUUCGGCGGUUGGGGAUGGACUCGCGUCUUAUUAGCUUGUUGGUGGGGUAGUGGCUUACCAAGGCUUUGACGGGUAGCCGGCCUGGGAGGGGGACCGGCAAAAUUAGGACUGAGGUACGGCCCAGACUGGUACGGGAGGCAACGGGGGAGAAGAGUGUACAAUGGGAGGGAGCCUGAUGCGACAAAGCCACGUGCGGGAAGACAGCCUGCGGGUAGUGAACCGAUGUCGCCUGAGACGAAGCGUGAGUGACGGUAAUGGGUGAAGAAGCACCGGCUAACUACGUG